This 22-nucleotide non-coding RNA is filed under the name Rattus norvegicus (Norway rat). The record is from RNAcentral. Lineage: Eukaryota; Metazoa; Chordata; Mammalia; Rodentia; Muridae.
UUAAAGAUAGUGGCCCUGGAGU